Molecule: long non-coding RNA, 264 nt
Filed under: Lathyrus oleraceus (garden pea)
Lineage: Eukaryota; Viridiplantae; Streptophyta; Magnoliopsida; Fabales; Fabaceae
Description: Pisum sativum (pea) long non-coding RNA (PSAT_LNC030501)
Source: RNAcentral
GACACCACCAGGAAUAACGAAAUUGUUCACGUCCUCUGCAUCCUCUUCCAAGAUAGCAGCAGCUUCCUCCUCAGGUUGAUCAUCAUGGAUGAAUCCUCCACUCUUGAACAAACCUUGCUCAUUGAAUGCCCCAGAACAAUAGCCAAUGCCAGCCCGGGAUCUAUUGUCUUCAAGCUCAAUCAUCUUCCCCAAACCAGCAACUGCACCACAUUCAAUGGCCAGUUUCGCAUCACGGUAGGAAGCAAAUGAAGGAGACUUCUUCUC